AACGAGCGCUGGCGGCAUGCCUAACACAUGCAAGUCGAACGAGACCUUCGGGUCUAGUGGCGCACGGGUGCGUAACGCGUGGGAACCUGCCCUUAGGUUCGGAAUAACUCCCCGAAAGGGGUGCUAAUACCGGAUAAUGUCUUCGGACCAAAGAUUUAUCGCCUUUGGAUGGGCCCGCGUUGGAUUAGCUAGUUGGUAGGGUAAAAGCCUACCAAGGCGACGAUCCAUAGCUGGUCUGAGAGGAUGAUCAGCCACACUGGGACUGAGACACGGCCCAGACUCCUACGGGAGGCAGCAGUGGGGAAUAUUGGACAAUGGGCGAAAGCCUGAUCCAGCAAUGCCGCGUGAGUGAUGAAGGCCUUAGGGUUGUAAAGCUCUUUUACCCGGGAUGAUAAUGACAGUACCGGGAGAAUAAGCGCCGGCUAACUCCGUG
RNAcentral lists this ribosomal RNA (433 nucleotides) under uncultured bacterium. RNAcentral's name for it is "partial 16S ribosomal RNA". It matches the Rfam family "Bacterial small subunit ribosomal RNA", at positions 29 to 507 of the family's 1533-position model. The record is from RNAcentral.